GCCGCGGUGGUGGAAUUGGCAGACACGCGGGACUCAAAAUCCCGUAGGGGAAACCCUGUGAGAGUUCAAGUCUCUCCCGCGGCACCA
RNAcentral lists this transfer RNA (87 nucleotides) under bacterium. RNAcentral describes it as "tRNA-Leu". It matches the Rfam family "tRNA". From Rfam's summary of the family: Transfer RNA (tRNA) molecules are approximately 80 nucleotides in length. The record is from RNAcentral. RNAcentral also lists the same sequence under 1 other name.